GAUGAACGCUGGCGGCGUGCUUAACACAUGCCAGUCGAACGAAGCACUUUAUUUGAUUUCCUUCGGGACUGAUUAUUUUGUGACUGAGUGGCGGACGGGUGAGUAACGCGUGGGUAACCUGCCUUGUACAGGGGGAUAACAGUUGGAAACGGCUGCUAAUACCGCAUAAGCGCACGGCAUCGCAUGAUGCAGUGUGAAAAACUCCGGUGGUAUAAGAUGGACCCGCGUUGGAUUAGCUAGUUGGUGAGGUAACGGCCCACCAAGGCGACGAUCCAUAGCCGACCUGAGAGGGUGACCGGCCACAUUGGGACUGAGACACGGCCCAAACUCCUACGGGAGGCAGCAGUGGGGAAUAUUGCACAAUGGGCGAAAGCCUGAUGCAGCGACGCCGCGUGAGCGAAGAAGUAUUUCGGGAUGUAAAGCUCUAUCAGCAGGGAAGAUAAUGACGGUACCUGACGAAGAAGCACCGGCUAAAUACGUG
Molecule: ribosomal RNA, 481 nt
Filed under: uncultured bacterium
Lineage: Bacteria
Description: partial 16S ribosomal RNA
Rfam family: Bacterial small subunit ribosomal RNA
Source: RNAcentral